Molecule: long non-coding RNA, 2952 nt
Organism: Diceros bicornis minor
Lineage: Eukaryota; Metazoa; Chordata; Mammalia; Perissodactyla; Rhinocerotidae
Exons: 3
Source: RefSeq, a predicted model, not a curated record
AUAUGCAAAGGCUUAGAAAGAGAUAGAAAAUCAUAAGCUGCCAUGUCAGCUUCAUCCAACUCUCUGUGGAGGAUGUGCAAACGAAAGAUUUGGAAGUCUGGUAAAAAUAAUUAGAUUGAUUUAAAUUAUGGGACUAGAAUCUGUCUGGUUUUUCCAUGUAUCAACUCAUGAAAACUAUAGUCUCUGGUCAAGUUUAUAUAAUCACAGGAAUGAAAAUUUUGUAUAUUCUUAUUUGAAUGAGAUACCAAUUUUAAAAGAAAAAUAUAUGCUUUGGUGAUAUAAAAUUGCUCUUAUAUUUUAGUGUUGAGUUGACCAAACUAGCAGCCCAGAUAACGGGAAGGCAUCCACUAGGAGGUGUGGGGAGCCUUGACUAAUUCAUCUACUAAUCAUUCUUUAGCCGCCUCCUUUACUCUUUCUUUUCCUUUUUCUUUUCUUUUUGGCGUUACCAUCCGUGACCUGAGAAUCUGUGUCUCCCACACAUUUGGCCUGGUACCUUCCUUUGACUGUCCCCAGUGUGAAGAAAGCUCCUCCUUCACCUCUCAGCUCUGGUACUCAGAUUUAAGGGAAACUUUUUCUCUUUUCUCUUAAGAAACUAUGACUUAUUGCAAUUUGUAAGCAGAAUCGAAGCAUUUAUCUUUUUCUCCCUAUGCCAUCCUUCCAGAAUGUGAAAACUCUUGAUGAAUGAUCCAAAAGCCCUGGAGAAAACCUGAAUUAAGGAACUAGACACUGUCAGAUGUCCCUCUACACCAUCUUUGUCAUGGAGACUGGGUCCUAUUAAAAUCCUAGAAACACAAGCACCCAGAAAAUCAACUUCAUCCCCCACUGGAUGGGACCAUACAAGAAAUGCCACAGGGAGCAGGAACCGUGCCAUAGAAGAGCAUCACAACCACGAUCACCCAGACUUUGGCUGGCUUCAUACUCUCCACACUGACUUCCCCAAAUGUUUAGGUGAACCUCUGAUAGACCUCAAGCUGCUGUAUAGAAGACAGUCUCCUAAAGAUAAAUAAUAAAUGACUCCCAGGUUCUUACCUUACUUGUUGGACUAUUAGACAGCAGGCUACUUGGCUACAUCAGAUUUCACUUGCGGCUCCAGGCCCUAACCUUGAUUGGUUUACAGUUCUCUUCUCCUGGAUUCCCCAAGGAUUGAGGUCUGUUAUGGAGGUGAUACUAAAAUUUGGAUUGUCUAUUUUGCUAAUAUGUGUGGUCAUCGAUGUAUGUAAUUAUAAAAUGUGGACUUGUGUUGUUCCAAAGCCAUUCAUCAGAGUACUAAAAUAUUAGUCAUGCAGAACAUACCUCACUCUCCUCCAUUUGGUACCCAAGAAUAUUUUAAAAUAAAAGUAGAACAAUUUCUCUGACCUUGAACUUCAUCCUUGCACAGCAGGAAGCAGCUAGAGCAGCCUUUGGCCCCAUUCCCCAAGAUUGAGGAGUGAUCAUAAGACAGUAGGUAUGGAAAUUGAGCAUGAAGGAGUUAAAGUUUCCCUGGAUUAGCGUGAAACUUGCCUUUUACCCACAAGGUUAACGUGGGAAAUGAAAUAACCAAAGUUUCUGAGCUUGCCUUGCAGAACAGCAGGAGGACCGCUGAUGAGAGAAAGAGAGUUGCUUGCUGGCAGCCCCCACUUGACUAAGCAUGUGGCAGGAGCAUAGAGAAGCUACAAUGACCGAUUGUAAACUUUAGCCAUGUGCUCCCCCUCCCCCACCUAAAACUCCAAAUAAAAAUCCUUACUUGUAGCUUUUCGAGGAGUUUGGGAUUAUAGUGUUAGCUGCCCGUUCUCCUUGCUCAGCACUUUGCAAUAAAAUUCCUACUUUCUUCCACUACACGUGGUGUCAGAGAUUGGCUUGCUGUGCAAUGGAUGAGCAAUAACACAUCUAAAAUAAUUAGAGCAAAGAGCAGCCUUUAUGGAUCUGACACCCUGUGGCCAGACUUUUUUUAAAGAUCUGAAAGAAUGUUUGCAUGCUCAAUACUAAAUAAUGCUUUUUAUUGUGUAGCAAAACACUAAGAACCAUUUAGAUUUAUUUUAUUCACUUCCAACAGAAUAAUUCUGUUGUUUUCCUCAUUUGUUUAUGGCAAACUUGAGUCCUGGAGGAGCAGAAUAAAUAAUUCACUGCAUUACAAUACAAUUUAGUGAGAGAACAAAGAUUAGACAGUCAAUUACGGUAUAACCUACUUCCAGCAACUGGUUACAAGAAGGAAAGAGAUUGUGAAAGAUGUUACAUUAUUAAUAUAUACGACUAUUCCACUGAAUAAAAAAUUCAUUACAAGUGCAAAAUUCUAUAGAAAUAUUGAAAAUAUAUGAGGCAAUGUGACAAAAAAAUAAUAAAGAGAUAACACAAUACAGAAUUACAAAAUAAGGAGGAAAAGAUAAGAAAAAAUUGCCAAUACCAAAACCAGCUCCUUGGAAAAACAGCAUUAUAAAGUAAAUACAAGCAUGUCCCACAGAAGCACGUGAGAUUUCCCGCGGGGAAGAACAGCAAAUGGGAAGGGCGGGCUCUUGCACCUCAGAUCCCAGAGUGACUGUUAGAGGUGUGUGUGCGUGAGUGUGAAGUGUGAGAGGAAAUACGACCCCUGGACUGGCACAUUCUCGUUGUCUUUCUUGAAAACUAGUUAAAUAAAGAGAAGGGACCUGCCUCUAAAGAUACUAAACUGGUGAGUAUGUCAGGAUAAAGAGGAGAAAGGCUGGCUAUUGGGAACAAAGGUGCCGUGCCGAGGAUGAUUGCCAUCCCAAAUUGCCCCAAAUUCCUAACACUGAUGAUUAGAUUUAUGCCCUACAGUCUUCAAUUUUUAAUAAAGAUAUGUCUUUCUUACUAUGAAUAUUUUUAUCUACAUAUGCAUUCAUCUUUCAAUCUAUUUCUAUUUUUCUCUUUCUGUAUGUGUCCAGCUGUGCAUUCAUCUAUGUGCCCACCUCUACCUAUAUGUUUAUUUAUCUACCAUGGUUAUGGAAGUCUGUUUUAUAG